Molecule: long non-coding RNA, 1715 nt
Filed under: Salmo salar (Atlantic salmon)
Lineage: Eukaryota; Metazoa; Chordata; Actinopteri; Salmoniformes; Salmonidae
Description: lncRNA (ENSSSAG00000041452.2)
Source: RNAcentral
GUUUUCUCAACCUUGGUUGCUACUUGUGAGUGACCUCUGUCUUUCCUUUGUAUCACCAGCACCCUAUCAGCUGGCUGGUGCAGGAGAUGGCUAGUGUUCUGAAGGAGCAGAAGGCUGUGAGCUGUGUGUCAGAGAAGGCCAAGUGGUGGGACAGGAGAAGGGCCCUGAACACACAGAUGGAGAGGCUGCUGGAGGAGAUGGAGGGGUUACUGGGCUGCUGGAGGAGAUGGAGGGGUUACUGGGCUGCUGGCGGUGGCUCCUCCUACCCCUGACCGGUGUCCCUGAGCUGUCUGUCCAGGUCAAACGCCUUCAGAAGACUCUCACUGCCUGGGGGGCACUGACCUCAGAGGAGAUGCUCAAGGCUGUGCUGUCUGCCUCUCCUCUGCUCUCCCAGUCCCAGCUGCAGUGGUUUGCCCAGGGAGUGUGUGGAGCAGGGGAAGGAGUGUUUGGACCUUCUGCAGACAACUGCGGUUGUACUGGCAGAGAGGCCCGAGUCCACAAGGACACGUGGUACUCAUCUUGGACAGGAUGGGAGUCUCUCACACUUGCACCCUACACUCAAAUCGACUCUAAUGUGCAAGAUCAACGUACAAAGCGGAAUGAUGCACUUUCUUUGUGUAGAGGAGAGUUGAGGAAAGUCUACCGUGGCAUGAACACAUUGCCUAUGAGUGUGACUGCUGUGAUAACGCCCAGUGAAAUAUUUGUCUUGUCCUAUCUUGCAGUACCUCCAGAAGCUGCUAUGGGAGAGCAUCUCCUGCCUCAGGCCUCGCUCUGUCACCCACAUGCCCUCUCUACACUCACUGCUUGGCCACUGUGCUCUAAGAGAGGUCAAACCGCACACACACACGUCUCUCUCUUUCUCUUCUGGCCCUCAGUCUGACCGGGAAUCUCCUGAAUGGAGGUGUGGAGCCCAAGCAGGUGUUCUACGUGCUCAACCUUGAUGACAACUUGUAGUUCACCAGAGGCCUUUUACGGUUCCUGGACUGGCAGAGGAUCCUGAAAGAGAUGAGAGAUGUUUCUAUGCUCUUUGGCUGGCAGUAUCAUCCUCAACUACCUCAUGGCUGGCUGGGAAGACUGACACACACAGACCUAUAAAGAUCAAGAGAAAAAACAGGCUUUCAUCAUUUUUUUCAGAAAUCAUUGCAAAGGAGGGCAUUUCCUGUAUUCUGUUUUACUGCCAUACACUGACCCCAAACAAUCCUAGAUUAACUUGCCUGUCUGUGUGUGAUUUUGCCUGUCUGUGUGUGAUUUUGACAUGUAGCCCAUUGGUUCUGGGGAGCCUGUGGGAUGUGAUUGACCGAGACAUUUACAGCUUCACCAAGGCCCUGCUGGAGUCCUGGCUGUCUGCAGGUCCCGGGGCUCCACUCCUAGACCACAUGGGGCGGCAAGUAGCCUAGUGGUUAGAGCAUUGGACCAGUAACCGAAAGAUUGCUAGAUUGAAUCCCCGACCUGACAAGGCCUCAAGCACCCGUGGUCUACGGACUCCCCUCCCCCCUGCGAUAGGAUGAAAGGCCAUCCCCAAACACACAAACUUUAAUGAAUUUAGUAACGCCACUGAUCCCCAAAACAUGAAUUGGAGGAUGUGAUUUUAGACUUGCUUGUGUGUAUUAUCUGCUAAGGCUGCCUUCUUAAAUGUAAACAAUGUUGUAUCCUUUGAUUUUCAUUUUUUAAAUGCUAGUGAAAUGUGUACAUAAAUGUAUUAAUAAAUGCUUGAC